GUUCUUGCUGUGACAGCACAUAUAUUAACACUGAAACAAGACAGAGAAGAUUAGCCCGGCCCCUUGUGUAAGGGUGACAAGUGAGUGACGUAUUUUU
Small nuclear RNA from Camelus dromedarius (Arabian camel), 97 nucleotides. Lineage: Eukaryota; Metazoa; Chordata; Mammalia; Artiodactyla; Camelidae. The record is from Ensembl.